ACUCCUACGGGAGGCAGCAGUGGGGAAUCUUGGACAAUGGGCGCAAGCCUGAUCCAGCCAUGCCGCGUGAGUGAUGAAGGCCCUAGGGUCGUAAAGCUCUUUCGCCAGGGAUGAUAAUGACAGUACCUGGUAAAGAAACCCCGGCUAACUCCGUGCCAGCAGCCGCGGUAAUACGGAGGGGGUUAGCGUUGUUCGGAAUUACUGGGGCGUAAAGCGCGCGUAGGCGGACUGGAAAGUUGGGGGUGAAAUCCCGGGGCUCAACCCCGGAACUGCCUCCAAAACUCCCAGUCUUGAGUUCGAGAGAGGUGAGUGGAAUUCCGAGUGUAGAGGUGAAAUUCGUAGAUAUUCGGAGGAACACCAGUGGCGAAGGCGGCUCACUGGCUCGAUACUGACGCUGAGGUGCGAAAGUGUGGGGAGCAAACAGGAUUAGAUACCCUGGUAGCGACUGA
This 449-nucleotide ribosomal RNA is filed under the name uncultured bacterium. Its description in RNAcentral is "bacterial SSU rRNA". It matches the Rfam family "Bacterial small subunit ribosomal RNA", at positions 335 to 799 of the family's 1533-position model. The record is from RNAcentral.